GGCAUUGAGUGUCGGUGACAAGCCCUGGCUGGCCGACCAGCAACCCUCGUUCCGCGGUGGGGUGCUCCAGGUGAAAGCCCGGCCCGUUAGCGAACCCGCGCGGGCAAGCGCGUUGA
This 116-nucleotide non-coding RNA is filed under the name Branchiibius sp. NY16-3462-2. Its description in RNAcentral is "SAM (S-adenosyl methionine) riboswitch aptamer". It matches the Rfam family "SAM (S-adenosyl methionine) riboswitch aptamer". From Rfam's summary of the family: SAM-IV is a mRNA element that regulates gene expression via direct sensing of S-adenosylmethionine (SAM or AdoMet). SAM-IV riboswitches share conserved nucleotide positions with the previously described SAM-I riboswitches sequence analysis and molecular recognition experiments suggest that SAM-I and SAM-IV riboswitches share similar ligand binding sites, but have different scaffolds. Lineage: Bacteria; Bacillati; Actinomycetota; Actinomycetes; Micrococcales; Dermacoccaceae. The record is from Rfam by way of RNAcentral. RNAcentral also lists the same sequence under 1 other name.